RNAcentral lists this ribosomal RNA (462 nucleotides) under uncultured bacterium. Its description in RNAcentral is "partial 16S ribosomal RNA". It matches the Rfam family "Bacterial small subunit ribosomal RNA", at positions 29 to 507 of the family's 1533-position model. The record is from RNAcentral.
AGUGAACGCUGGCGGCGUGCCUAAUACAUGCAAGUCGAACGGAGAUUAAGUAGCUUGCUAUUUACUCUUAGUGGCGCACGGGUGAGUAAUAUAUAGCUAACUUGCCCAUUACUAAGGGACAACAGUUGGAAACGACUGCUAAUACCUUAUACUCCGUAUCUAUAUAAGUAGAUACGGGAAAGUUUUUCGGUAAUGGAUAGGGCUAUAUCGUAUCAGCUAGUUGGUAAGGUAAUGGCUUACCAAGGCUAUGACGCGUAACUGGUCUGAGAGGAUGAUCAGUCACACUAGAACUGAGACACGGUCCAGACUCCUACGGGAGGCAGCAGUAGGGAAUAUUGCUCAAUGGGGGAAACCCUGAAGCAGCAACGCCGCGUGGAGGAUGACACUUUUCGGAGCGUAAACUCCUUUUCUUGGGAAAGAAUUAUGACGGUACCCAAGGAAUAAGCACCGGCUAACUCCGUG